GUUUGAUCCUGGCUCAGAUUGAACGCUGGCGGGAUGCUUUACACAUGCAAGUCGAACGGCAGCACGGACUUCGGUCUGGUGGCGAGUGGCGAACGGGUGAGUAAUGUAUCGGAACGUGCCUAGUAGCGGGGGAUAACUACGCGAAAGCGUAGCUAAUACCACAUACGCCCUUCGGGGGAAGCAGGGGACCUUCGGGCCUCGCACUAUUAGAGCAGCCGAUAUCGGAUUAGCUAGUUG
RNAcentral lists this unclassified non-coding RNA (237 nucleotides) under uncultured Bordetella sp. Its description in RNAcentral is "partial 16S-23S ribosomal RNA intergenic spacer". It matches the Rfam family "Bacterial small subunit ribosomal RNA", at positions 11 to 251 of the family's 1533-position model. The record is from RNAcentral. Lineage: Bacteria; Pseudomonadati; Pseudomonadota; Betaproteobacteria; Burkholderiales; Alcaligenaceae.